CUUGUGGCAGCUGUCUUCUCUGAACAGCAGUCUCGUGAACACCGGCCUCAGUACAAUGAAGAACCCAGAAUUGACAGCAGUGCACACCCAUCUGAGGCCGACCUGUUUUACUUUAUGAUCACCCCAGAUACUUCUACAACUAACCCGCUUUGUGUCUGAUGUUGAUGCAGCCUGGGCAC
Long non-coding RNA from Sinocyclocheilus rhinocerous, 179 nucleotides. RefSeq lists it as uncharacterized. Lineage: Eukaryota; Metazoa; Chordata; Actinopteri; Cypriniformes; Cyprinidae. The transcript has 3 exons. The record is from RefSeq and is a predicted model, not a curated record.